GGCCAGAAUUCAAAUGCAUCUUACAACUUUCAAAGGGAUUAUCCUUUUUUCUACACCCACUUAAAUCAUCUUGUUCAAUUCAUAAGGACGCUAAAAGGUGCAUUACAAAAAAGGCAUAAGCACAAUAGGCCUUUAAAACACAUGACUGUCAUCAAGCGAGGACAGAAUGCUCAGGGCGCACCUCUCAAAUUCUGAAACUACGUCCAUAAAUUUGCUUAAAACAACUUGGUAACAACGAAAAGAAUCCCAAAAAAAAGUGAUUCAAAGUAAAAUGCAAACAAAGUGCAAGCUUGGUUAUUAUACACAUCAAUUAUAUUCAAAAGCAACUCAAAUCUCCCUAAUCAACUAGACAGAAUAGAACUCCACGACCCAAACUGUGGGGAGCAUUUUCAACAAGCCAACAUCAACAACAACUCAGCCUUAAUCCCAGACAUGGUAAAAAAAAAUAAAAA
This 452-nucleotide unclassified non-coding RNA is filed under the name Hevea brasiliensis (rubber tree). Lineage: Eukaryota; Viridiplantae; Streptophyta; Magnoliopsida; Malpighiales; Euphorbiaceae. The record is from RNAcentral.